RNAcentral lists this small nuclear RNA (164 nucleotides) under Cebus imitator (Panamanian white-faced capuchin). RNAcentral describes it as "U1 spliceosomal RNA (ENSCCAG00000019754.1)". It matches the Rfam family "U1 spliceosomal RNA". Rfam says of the family: U1 is a small nuclear RNA (snRNA) component of the spliceosome (involved in pre-mRNA splicing). The record is from Rfam by way of RNAcentral. Lineage: Eukaryota; Metazoa; Chordata; Mammalia; Primates; Cebidae.
AUACUUACCUGGCAGGGGAGAUACCAUGGUCACAAAGGUGGUUUUCCCAGGGCGAGGCUUUUCCAUUGCACUCCGGAUGUGCUGACCCCUGCGAUUUCCCCAAAUGUGGGAAACUCGACUGCAUAAUUUGUGGUAGUGGGGGACUGCAUUCGCACUUUCUCCUG